AUAAAUGAACAGCGACAGACACAAGCAAGCCUCAGUCUGAAUUGCCCCUUCCCCCCCUUCCCCGACCCUGGGGGCUUUGGAGCAGUAUUUCUCGGGGUCGGAAUAUCCCCUCUUGGCAUGCGAUGGGCCCACUCUGCCCUGAGCCCUGGCCUUCCAGCUUCUGGGACGUAAGGGUCAGGAGAGGUGAGCCAUUCGGACACUUUACCCCCAGCAUCUGCCGGGAGUUGACUACAACGACCUUGGGUUCAUUCUAGCACCUCCUAUGAAUUUAACGGGCAUUUUGGUGGCAGUGAGAGAUGUCGCACUUGCAGGAAGGCUGCGGUAAGCUACAGUUCUUCCCGGAGACGCCGGCUGCCAUCUGCAGGUGCCCUUUACUGGCAGACACUUUGCUACCAGACAUUGGACUCAUCAAGAUGCCACAGUAAGCGAUGCCUACAGCCACUUUGGGGCCAAGCUUACCUGCAAACAACAGAUUUUCUUGUUGAGAAGAUACGACUCAUCCUGGACUCUCUUGCCCAUCCUCGGCCACCAACAGAGUAGCGGCUUCAUCUCAUCGC
Molecule: long non-coding RNA, 557 nt
Organism: Hyaena hyaena (striped hyena)
Lineage: Eukaryota; Metazoa; Chordata; Mammalia; Carnivora; Hyaenidae
Exons: 3
Source: RefSeq, a predicted model, not a curated record